This 429-nucleotide ribosomal RNA is filed under the name Gemmatimonadota bacterium. RNAcentral describes it as "Gemmatimonadetes bacterium partial 16S ribosomal RNA". It matches the Rfam family "Bacterial small subunit ribosomal RNA", at positions 355 to 776 of the family's 1533-position model. Lineage: Bacteria; Pseudomonadati; Gemmatimonadota. The record is from RNAcentral.
UAGGGAAUCUUCGGCAAUGGACGAAAGUCUGACCGAGCAACGCCGUGUGAGUGAAGAAGGUUUUCGGAUCGUAAAACUCUGUUGUUAGAGAAGAACAAGGACGUUAGUAACUGAACGUCCCCUGACGGUAUCUAACCAGAAAGCCACGGCUAACUACGUGCCAGCAGCCGCGGUAAUACGUAGGUGGCAAGCGUUGUCCGGAUUUAUUGGGCGUAAAGCGAGCGCAGGCGGUUUCUUAAGUCUGAUGUGAAAGCCCCCGGCUCAACCGGGGAGGGUCAUUGGAAACUGGGAGACUUGAGUGCAGAAGAGGAGAGUGGAAUUCCAUGUGUAGCGGUGAAAUGCGUAGAUAUAUGGAGGAACACCAGUGGCGAAGGCGGCUCUCUGGUCUGUAACUGACGCUGAGGCUCGAAAGCGUGGGGAGCAAACAGG